RNAcentral lists this ribosomal RNA (503 nucleotides) under uncultured bacterium. RNAcentral's name for it is "bacterial SSU rRNA". It matches the Rfam family "Bacterial small subunit ribosomal RNA", at positions 28 to 517 of the family's 1533-position model. The record is from RNAcentral.
GAUGAACGCUAGCUACAGGCUUAACACAUGCAAGUCGAGGGGAAACGAUAGAGAAAGCUUGCUUUUUCUAGGCGUCGACCGGCGCACGGGUGAGUAACGCGUAUCCAACCUGCCCAUCACUUGGGGAUAACCUUGCGAAAGUAAGACUAAUACCCAAUGACGUCUCUAGAAGACAUCUGAAGGAGAUUAAAGAUUUAUCGGUGAUGGAUGGGGAUGCGUCUGAUUAGCUUGUUGGCGGGGUAACGGCCCACCAAGGCGACGAUCAGUAGGGGUUCUGAGAGGAAGGCCCCCCCANAUUGGAACUGAGACACGGUCCAAACUCCUACGGGAGGCAGCAGUGAGGAAUAUUGGUCAAUGGACGAGAGUCUGAACCAGCCAAGUAGCGUGCAGGAUGACGGCCCUAUGGGUUGUAAACUGCUUUUAUAAGGGAAUAAAGUGAGUCUCGUGAGACUUUUUGCAUGUACCUUAUGAAUAAGGACCGGCUAAUUCCGUGCCAGCAGCCG